GACGAACGCUGGCGGCGUGCUUAACACAUGCAAGUCGAACGGUAAGGCCCUUCGGGGUACACGAGUGGCGAACGGGUGAGUAACACGUGGGUGAUCUGCCCUGCACUUCGGAUAAGCCUGGGAAACUGGGUCUAAUACCGGAUAGGACCACUGCCUGCAUGGGUGGUGGUGGAAAGCUUUUGCGGUGUGGGAUGGGCCCGCGGCCUAUCAGCUUGUUGGUGGGGUGAUGGCCUACCAAGGCGACGACGGGUAGCCGGCCCGAGAGGGUGACCGGCCACACUGGGACUGAGAUACGGCCCAGACUCCUACGGGAGGCAGCAGUGGGGAAUAUUGCACAAUGGGCGCAAGCCUGAUGCAGCGACGCCGCGUGAGGGAUGACGGCCUUCGGGUUGUAAACCUCUUUCAGCACCGACGAAGCGCAAGUGACGGUAGGUGCAGAAGAAGGACCGGCCAACUACGUGCCAGCCGCCGCCGUAA
RNAcentral lists this ribosomal RNA (477 nucleotides) under uncultured bacterium. Its description in RNAcentral is "partial 16S ribosomal RNA". It matches the Rfam family "Bacterial small subunit ribosomal RNA", at positions 28 to 523 of the family's 1533-position model. The record is from RNAcentral.